GGUCGGUUAGCUCAGUUGGUAGAGCGUCGUGCUGAUAACGCGAAGGUCGUGGGUUCAAGCCCCAUAUCGACCA
This 73-nucleotide transfer RNA is filed under the name Acanthaster planci (crown-of-thorns starfish). RNAcentral describes it as "tRNA-Ile". It matches the Rfam family "tRNA". Rfam says of the family: Transfer RNA (tRNA) molecules are approximately 80 nucleotides in length. Their secondary structure includes four short double-helical elements and three loops (D, anti-codon, and T loops). Further hydrogen bonds mediate the characteristic L-shaped molecular structure. tRNAs have two regions of fundamental functional importance: the anti-codon, which is responsible for specific mRNA codon recognition, and the 3' end, to which the tRNAs corresponding amino acid is attached (by aminoacyl-tRNA synthetases). tRNAs cope with the degeneracy of the genetic code in two manners: having more than one tRNA (with a specific anti-codon) for a particular amino acid; and 'wobble' base-pairing, i.e. permitting non-standard base-pairing at the 3rd anti-codon position. The record is from Rfam by way of RNAcentral. Lineage: Eukaryota; Metazoa; Echinodermata; Asteroidea; Valvatida; Acanthasteridae.